AGUGUGUGCGUGCGUGUGUGUGUGUAUGGGUGUAUGCAUGCAUUCAUACCUUACUGUGAGGGUCUGCAAACAUCCUGGUGAAGAUUUCACACAACCUCUUCAACUCCACCCGACUGAGGGGGAGA
This is a long non-coding RNA of Xiphophorus couchianus (Monterrey platyfish), 125 nucleotides long. RefSeq lists it as uncharacterized. The transcript has 3 exons. Lineage: Eukaryota; Metazoa; Chordata; Actinopteri; Cyprinodontiformes; Poeciliidae. The record is from RefSeq and is a predicted model, not a curated record.